GAUGAACGCUGGCGGCGUGCCUAAUACAUGCAAGUCGAGCGAACAGACGAGGAGCUUGCUCCUCUGACGUUAGCGGCGGACGGGUGAGUAACACGUGGAUAACCUACCUAUAAGACUGGGAUAACUUCGGGAAACCGGAGCUAAUACCGGAUAAUAUAUUGAACCGCAUGGUUCAAUAGUGAAAGACGGUUUUGCUGUCACUUAUAGAUGGAUCCGCGCCGCAUUAGCUAGUUGGUAAGGUAACGGCUUACCAAGGCAACGAUGCGUGGCCGACCUGAGAGGGUGAUCGGCCACACUGGAACUGAGACACGGUCCAGACUCCUACGGGAGGCAGCAGUAGGGAAUCUUCCGCAAUGGGCGAAAGCCUGACGGAGCAACGCCGCGUGAGUGAUGAAGGUCUUCGGAUCGUAAAACUCUGUUAUUAGGGAAGAACAAAUGUGUAAGUAACUAUGCACGUCUUGACGGUACCUAAUCAGAAAGCCACGGCUAACUACGU
RNAcentral lists this ribosomal RNA (496 nucleotides) under uncultured bacterium. RNAcentral's name for it is "partial 16S ribosomal RNA". It matches the Rfam family "Bacterial small subunit ribosomal RNA", at positions 28 to 506 of the family's 1533-position model. The record is from RNAcentral.